GAUGAACGCUGGCGGCGUGCCUAAUACAUGCAAGUCGAGCGAACGGACGAGAAGCUUGCUUUUCUGAUGUUAGCGGCGGACGGGUGAGUAACACGUGGAUAACCUACCUAUAAGACUGGGAUAACUUCGGGAAACCGGAGCUAAUACCGGAUAAUAUUUUGAACCGCAUGGUUCAAAAGUGAAAGACGGUCUUGCUGUCACUUAUAGAUGGAUCCGCGCUGCAUUAGCUAGUUGGUAAGGUAACGGCUUACCAAGGCAACGAUGCAUAGCCGACCUGAGAGGGUGAUCGGCCACACUGGAACUGAGACACGGUCCAGACUCCUACGGGAGGCAGCAGUAGGGAAUCUUCCGCAAUGGGCGAAAGCCUGACGGAGCAACGCCGCGUGAGUGAUGAAGGUCUUCGGAUCGUAAAACUCUGUUAUUAGGGAAGAACAUAUGUGUAAGUAACUGUGCACAUCUUGACGGUACCUAAUCAGAAAGCCGCGGCUAACUACGUGCCAGCAGCCGCGGUAAUACGUAGGUGGCAAGCGUUAUCCGGAAUUAUUGGGCGUAAAGCGCGCGUAGGCGGUUUUUUAGUCUGAUGUGAAAGCCCACGGCUCAACCGUGGAGGGUCAUUGGAAACUGGAAAACUUGAGUGCAGAAGAGGAAAGUGGAAUUCCAUGUGUAGCGGUGAAAUGCGCAGAGAUGUGGAGGAACACCAGUGGCGAAGGCGACUUUCUGGUCUGUAACUGACGCUGAUGUGCGAAAGCGUGGGGAUCAAACAGGAUUAGAUACCCUGGUAGUCCACGCCGUAAACGAUGAGUGCUAAGUGUUAGGGGGUUUCCGCCCCUUAGUGCUGCAGCUAACGCAUUAAGCACUCCGCCUGGGGAGUACGACCGCAAGGUUGAAACUCAAAGGAAUUGACGGGGGCCCGCACAAGCGGUGGAGCAUGUGGUUUAAUUCGAAGCAACGCGAAGAACCUUACCAAAUCUUGACAUCCUUUGACAACUCUAGAGAUAGAGCCUUCCCCUUCGGGGGACAAAGUGACAGGUGGUGCAUGGUUGUCGUCAGCUCGUGUCGUGAGAUGUUGGGUUAAGUCCCGCAACGAGCGCAACCCUUAAGCUUAGUUGCCAUCAUUAAGUUGGGCACUCUAAGUUGACUGCCGGUGACAAACCGGAGGAAGGUGGGGAUGACGUCAAAUCAUCAUGCCCCUUAUGAUUUGGGCUACACACGUGCUACAAUGGACAAUACAAAGGGCAGCGAAACCGCGAGGUCAAGCAAAUCCCAUAAAGUUGUUCUCAGUUCGGAUUGUAGUCUGCAACUCGACUACAUGAAGCUGGAAUCGCUAGUAAUCGUAGAUCAGCAUGCUACGGUGAAUACGUUCCCGGGUCU
Molecule: ribosomal RNA, 1371 nt
Filed under: uncultured bacterium
Lineage: Bacteria
Description: bacterial SSU rRNA
Rfam family: Bacterial small subunit ribosomal RNA
Source: RNAcentral